Molecule: ribosomal RNA, 253 nt
Filed under: uncultured bacterium
Lineage: Bacteria
Description: partial 16S ribosomal RNA
Rfam family: Bacterial small subunit ribosomal RNA
Source: RNAcentral
UACGAAGGGGGCUAGCGUUGUUCGGAAUUACUGGGCGUAAAGCGCACGUAGGCGGUCUUUUAAGUCAGGGGUGAAAUCCCGGGGCUCAACCCCGGAACUGCCUUUGAUACUGGAAGUCUUGAGUGUGGUAGAGGUGAGUGGAAUUGCGAGUGUAGAGGUGAAAUUCGUAGAUAUUCGCAGGAACACCAGUGGCGAAGGCGGCUCACUGGACCACAACUGACGCUGAGGCGCGAAAGCUAGGGGAGCAAACGGG